Molecule: ribosomal RNA, 574 nt
Filed under: Lodderomyces orthopsilosis
Lineage: Eukaryota; Fungi; Ascomycota; Pichiomycetes; Serinales; Debaryomycetaceae
Description: Candida orthopsilosis partial large subunit ribosomal RNA
Rfam family: Eukaryotic large subunit ribosomal RNA
Source: RNAcentral
UAAUUUGAAGAAGGUAUCUUUGGGUCUGGCUCUUGUCUAUGUUUCUUGGAACAGAACGUCACAGAGGGUGAGAAUCCCGUGCGAUGAGAUGACCCAGACCUAUGUAAAGUUCCUUCGAAGAGUCGAGUUGUUUGGGAAUGCAGCUCUAAGUGGGUGGUAAAUUCCAUCUAAAGCUAAAUAUUGGCGAGAGACCGAUAGCGAACAAGUACAGUGAUGGAAAGAUGAAAAGAACUUUGAAAAGAGAGUGAAAAAGUACGUGAAAUUGUUGAAAGGGAAGGGCUUGAGAUCAGACUUGGUAUUUUGUAUGUUACUCUCUCGGGGGUGGCCUCUACAGUUUACCGGGCCAGCAUCAGUUUGGGCGGUAGGACAAUUGCAAAGAAAUGUGGCACUGCCUCGGUAGUGUGUUAUAGUCUUUGUCGAUACUGCCAGCCUAGACUGAGGACUGCGGCUUCGGCCUAGGAUGUUGGCAUAAUGAUCUUAAGUCGCCCGUCUUGAAACACGGACCAAGGAGUCUAACGUCUAUGCGAGUGUUUGGGUGUAAAACCCGUACGCGUAAUGAAAGUGAACGUAGGUA